This 240-nucleotide unclassified non-coding RNA is filed under the name soil metagenome. RNAcentral describes it as "partial contains 5.8S ribosomal RNA, internal transcribed spacer 2, and large subunit ribosomal RNA". The record is from RNAcentral.
AACCAUAGAAACCUGCGGAGUACCUGCGGAGGGAUCAUCAUCGAAUUCAUAUCCUUCUCCCACCGGAGGGGGACCUAUGAUAAACCCUUCUGUGCACCGUAAACCGUUCACUUUGGCAGGCUUUGGUGGUGAGCGUGAGCUCGUCAACGUCGCGUUCCCUCCCUAGGGGGUUGCGCGUGGCGGCCUGCCGGAGUCCUCCUAUGAAAAACACGUUUUCGAACACGACUGAAAUUUCCUUUG